AAUCAACGCUGGCGGCGCGCUUAACACAUGCAAGUCGAGCGAGAAAGGGGAGCAAUCCCUGAGUACAGCGGCGUACGGGUGAGUAACACGUGGGUGAUCUACCUUCUAGUGUGGAAUAACCCUGGGAAACCGGGGCUAAUACCGCAUAAGCCUGUGAAGGGAAAGCAGCAAUGCGCUGGAAGAGGAGCCCGCGGCCGAUUAGCUAGUUGGUGAGGUAACGGCCCCACCAAGGCGAUGAUCGGUAGCCGGCCUGAGAGGGCACACGGCCACACUGGCACUGAAACACGGGCCAGACUCCUACGGGAGGCAGCAGUGGGAAUCUUGCACAAUGGAGGCAACUCUGAUGCAGCGACGCCGCGUGAGCGAUGAAGCCCUUCGGGGGUGUAAAGCUCUUUCGGCAGGGACGA
Molecule: ribosomal RNA, 407 nt
Filed under: uncultured bacterium
Lineage: Bacteria
Description: bacterial SSU rRNA
Rfam family: Bacterial small subunit ribosomal RNA
Source: RNAcentral